Molecule: ribosomal RNA, 800 nt
Filed under: uncultured bacterium
Lineage: Bacteria
Description: bacterial SSU rRNA
Rfam family: Bacterial small subunit ribosomal RNA
Source: RNAcentral
AAUUGUCAGCUAAGUGGCGCACGGGUGAGUAAUGUAUAGAUAACCUGCCCUUAAGAAAGGAAUAACAGUUGGAAACGACUGCUAAUGCCCUAUAUGCCUUUAAUACAUAAGUAUGCAAGGGAAACGCUUUAGAGCUUAAGGAUGGGUCUGUAUGGUAUCAGCUUGUUGGUGAGGUAAUGGCUCACCAAGGCUAUGACGCCUAACUGGUUUGAGAGGAUGAUCAGUCACACUGGAACUGAGACACGGUCCAGACUCCUACGGGAGGCAGCAGUGGGGAAUAUUGCACAAUGGACGAAAGUCUGAUGCAGCAACGCCGCGUGGAGGAUGACACAUUUCGGUGCGUAAACUCCUUUUAUAUAGGAAGAUAAUGACGGUACUAUAUGAAUAAGCACCGGCUAACUCCGUGCCAGCAGCCGCGGUAAUACGGAGGGUGCAAGCGUUACUCGGAAUCACUGGGCGUAAAGAGCGUGUAGGCGGGUAUAUAAGUCAGAAGUGAAAUCCAAUAGCUCAACUAUUGAACUGCUUUUGAAACUGUAUACCUAGAAUGUGGGAGAGGUAGAUGGAAUUUCUGGUGUAGGGGUAAAAUCCGUAGAGAUCAGAAGGAAUACCGAUUGCGAAGGCGAUCUACUGGAACAUUAUUGACGCUGAGACGCGAAAGCGUGGGGAGCAAACAGGAUUAGAUACCCUGGUAGUCCACGCCCUAAACGAUGUACACUAGUUGUUGUGAGGCUCGACCUUGCAGUAAUGCAGUUAACACAUUAAGUGUACCGCCUGGGGGAGUACGGUCGCAAGAUUAAAAC